Molecule: non-coding RNA, 148 nt
Filed under: Homo sapiens (human)
Lineage: Eukaryota; Metazoa; Chordata; Mammalia; Primates; Hominidae
Source: Rfam by way of RNAcentral
GCUGGGCGUGGUGGCGGGCACCUGUAAUCCUAGGUACUCGGGAGGCUGAGGCAGGAGAAUUGCUUGAACCCAGGAGGCGGAGGUUGCAGUGAGCCGAGAUUGAGCCAUUGCACUCCAGCCUGGGUGACAGAGCAAGACUCUGUCUCAA